Molecule: ribosomal RNA, 378 nt
Filed under: Klebsiella pneumoniae
Lineage: Bacteria; Pseudomonadati; Pseudomonadota; Gammaproteobacteria; Enterobacterales; Enterobacteriaceae
Description: bacterial LSU rRNA
Rfam family: Bacterial large subunit ribosomal RNA
Source: RNAcentral
GUGAUCCGGUGGUUCUGAAUGGAAGGGCCAUCGCUCAACGGAUAAAAGGUACUCCGGGGAUAACAGGCUGAUACCGCCCAAGAGUUCAUAUCGACGGCGUGUUUGGCACCUCGAUGUCGGCUCAUCACAUCCUGGGGCUGAAGUAGGUCCCAAGGGUAUGGCUGUUCGCCAUUUAAAGUGGUACGCGAGCUGGGUUUAGACGUCGUGAGACAGUUCGGUCCCUAUCUGCCGUGGGCGCUGGAGAAUUGAGGGGGGCUGCUCCUAGUACGAGAGGACCGGAGUGGACGCAUCACUGGUGUUCGGGUUGUCAUGCCAAUGGCACUGCCCGGUAGCUAAAUGCGGAAGAGAUAAGUGCUGAAAGCAUCUAAGCACGAAACU